UGAGGAAUAUUGGGCAAUGCCCGCAAGGGUGACCCAGCAACGCCGCGUGGAGGAUGAAUGUCUUAAGAUUGUAAACUCCUGUUAGAGGGGAAGAAUAGUACCGGUUGGACCGGUAUAUGACUGUACCCUCAGAGAAAGCCCCGGCUAACUACGUGCCAGCAGCCGCGGUAAUACGUAGGGGGCAAGCGUUGUCCGGAUUUACUGGGUGUAAAGGGCGCGCAGGCGGGAUAAAAAGUCAGUGGUGAAAUCCUACAGCUUAACUGUAGAACUGCCUUUGAUACUUUUAUUCUUGAGUUCGGGAGAGAGAGACGGAAUUCCAGGUGUAGUGGUGAAAUACGUAGAUAUCUGGAAGAACACCAGUUGCGAAGGCGGUCUCUUGGUCCGACACUGACGCUGAGGCGCGAAAGCGUGGGGAGCAAACA
This 422-nucleotide ribosomal RNA is filed under the name uncultured bacterium. RNAcentral describes it as "bacterial SSU rRNA". It matches the Rfam family "Bacterial small subunit ribosomal RNA", at positions 355 to 774 of the family's 1533-position model. The record is from RNAcentral.